GAAUAGUACCGUGAGGGAAAGGUGAAAAGAACCCCGGGAGGGGAGUGAAAUAGAACCUGAAACCUUAUGCCUACAAGCAGAUAGAGUCUUAAGAGAGAUGAUAUCGUACUUUUUGUAGAACGGGCCAGCGAGUUAUGGUGUGCGGCAAGGUUAAGUAAUGAAGUUACGGAGCCGUAGGGAAACCGAGUCUGAAUAGGGCGGAUAAGUCGUAUGCCAUAGACCCGAAACCAGGUGAUCUAUCCAUGGGCAGGUUGAAGUGAAAGUAAAAUUUCAUGGAGGACCGAACCGGGUAGCGUUUAAAAGCUAUCGGAUGACUUGUGGAUAGGGGUGAAAAGCCAAUCGAACUUGGAGAUAGCUGGUUCUCCUCGAAAUAGCUUUAGGGCUAGCCUCAAUUUAGUUUACAGGGGGUAGAGCACUGAAUACCGUAGGGGUGUUAGACAUUACCGAAAGUUAUCAAACUGCGAAUACCUGAUAAAUGAUGAUUGGGAGUCAGACUAUGUGGGAUAAGCUUCAUAGUCGAAAGGGAAAGAGCCCAGACCACCAGCUAAGGUCCCUAAAUAUAGAUUAAGUGGUAAAGGAUGUUUUACUACUCAGACAACCAGGAUGUUGGCUUAGAAGCAGCCAUACAUUUAAAGAGUGCGUAAUAGCUCACUGGUCAAGUGGUAGAGCGCCGAAAAUGAACGGGGCUAAAAUCUAAUACCGAAGCUGUGGACUAAUAUAAUUAGUGGUAGAGGAGCAUUGUGUAAGGGGUGAAGCUAAGCUGGAAGGCGAAGUGGACUUUACAGAAGAGAGAAUGCUGGCAUGAGUAGCGAAAAGGAGGGUGAGAAUCCCUCCCGUCGAAAGCCUAAGGAUUCCUGAGGAAGGCUCGUCCUCUCAGGGUAAGUCGGGACCUAAGCCCAGGCUGAAAAGCGUAAGCGAUGGACAACAGGUUGAGAUUCCUGUACUAUCUUUGAAUGUUUGAGAGAUGUACUGACGCAGGAGGAUAUGUUGAGCGUGUGAAUGGUAGAGCACGUCUAAGCAAGUAGGUAGAGAAUAGAGGCAAAUCCCUAUUCUUAAUAUCGAGAUGUGAUAGGGAGCGAAAAAUAAGUAGUGAAGCAACAGAUUCCAAACUGCCAAGAAAAGGUACUAUUGAGUGAGAAGAUACCCGUACCAAAACCGACACAGGUAGGCAAGGAGAGAAUCCUAAGACGCGCGGAAGAACCUUUGUUAAGGAACUCGGCAAAAUGACCCCGUAACUUCGGGAGAAGGGGUACCAUUAGAUGUGAAGUACAUACGUAUGGAGCAUAGAGUGGUCGCAGAGAAUAGGCCCAAGCAACUGUUUACCAAAAACACAAGUCUCUGCUAAAUCGAAAGAUGAAGUAUAGGGGCUGACACCUGCCCGGUGCUGGAAGGUUAAGGGGAAAUGUCAGAGCAAUCGAAGCAUAGAACUUAAGCCCCAGUAAACGGCGGCCGUAACUAUAACGGUCCUAAGGUAGCGAAAUUCCUUGUCGGGUAAGUUCCGACCCGCACGAAAGGUGUAAUGAUUUGGGCACUGUCUCAACAAAGGAUCCGGUGAAAUUGUAGUAGUCGUGAAGAUGCGACUUACCCACGAUAGGACGGAAAGACCCCGUGGAGCUUUACUGUAGGCUGGCAUUGGAAUUUGGUAUUAAAUGUACAGGAUAGGUGGGAGACGAAGAAGCGAGAGCGCCAGUUUUCGUGGAGUCAAUGUUGGGAUACCACUCUUUUGAUACUAAAUUUCUAACUUGAUACUCUGAAGCGAGUAUAAGGACACUGUCAGUUGGGCAGUUUGACUGGGGCGGUCGCCUCCUAAAGAGUAACGGAGGCGUUCAAAGGUUCCCUCAGAAUGGAAGGAAAUCAUUCUAAGAGUGCAAAGGCAAAAGGGAGCUUAACUGCGACACCAACAAGUGGAGCAGAUAGGAAACUAGGACUUAGUGAUCCGGUGGUACCGAGUGGAAGGGCCAUCGCUCAACGGACAAAAGCUACCCCGGGGAUAACAGGCUUAUCUCCCCCAAGAGUUCACAUCGACGGGGAGGUUUGGCAC
RNAcentral lists this ribosomal RNA (2041 nucleotides) under human metagenome. Its description in RNAcentral is "bacterial LSU rRNA". It matches the Rfam family "Bacterial large subunit ribosomal RNA", at positions 493 to 2524 of the family's 2925-position model. The record is from RNAcentral.